Molecule: non-coding RNA, 27 nt
Filed under: Cricetulus griseus (Chinese hamster)
Lineage: Eukaryota; Metazoa; Chordata; Mammalia; Rodentia; Cricetidae
Source: RNAcentral
GCCUGGGGAUCAAGAUGUAGAACUCUC